UAAAUACUCCCGAGAGACCGAUAGCGAACCAGUACCGUGAGGGAAAGGUGAAAAGCACUUCGAACAGAAGAGUGAAAUAGUCCCUGAACCCAUACGCCUACAAGCAGUCGGAGCCGCUUCGUGCGGUGACGGCGUGCCUUUUGCAUAAUGAGCCUACGAGUUACUCAUCACCAGCGAGGUUAAGUACUUCAGGUACGUAAGCCGAAGCGAAAGCGAGUCUGAAUAGGGCGUCAAGUUGGUGGUGGUAGACGCGAAACCUUAGUGAUCUACCCAUGGGCAGGGUGAAGGUUUGGUAACACAAACUGGAGGCCCGAACCGGUAAACGUUGAAAAGUUUUCGGAUGACCUGUGGGUAGGGGUGAAAGGCCAAUCAAACUGGGAAAUAGCUCGUACUCUCCGAAAUGCAUUUAGGUGCAGCCUCUGUUGUUUUGUUCUAGAGGUAGAGCUACUGAUUGGAUGCGAGGGCUUCACCGCCUAUCAAAUCCGGCCAAACUCCGAAUGCUAGAACAUGAAGACAGGGAGUGAGCCAGCGGGUGCUAAGGUCCGUUGACGAAAGAGGGAGAACUCAGACCAUCAGCUAAGGUCCCCAAUUAUAUGCUAAGUUGGAAUAAAAACGGGGUGGGACUGCUUAGACAGCUAGGAUGUUGGCUUGGAAGCAGCCAUUCAUUUAAAGAGUGCGUAACAGCUCACUAGUCGAGCGGUCCUGCAUGGAUAAUACGCGGGCAUAAGCAUAUAACCGAAGCUAUGGGAUUGUAGAUGAUACAAUCGGUAGGAGAGCAUUCCAUUCAGCAUAGAAGCAGUACCGUGAGGUAUUGUGGAGCGGAUGGAAAAGCAAAUGUAGGCAUAAGUAACGAUAAUGCGGGUGAGAACCCCGCACGCCGAAAGAUCAAGGAUUCCCCGGCAAUGUCAAUCAUCCGGGGGUAAGUCGGAUCCUAAGGGUAAGCCGAGUGGCGAUCCCGAUGGCAAACAGGUUAAUAUUCCUGUACUGAUCAUAACUGCGAUGCAGCGACGCAGAGGUGACACUGCUGCGUACUGACGGAAUAGUACGUUGAAACCCGUAUUCUUUGAUACCGGUAGUGAAGCACGCCGGUAGAGAUGAAAGGUGAUAGUACCGCAAUGCUUCGGUUGCGCGGAUAAUGCAGGUAAGCUGACUGCCAAGAAAACCUGCUAAGCUUCAGGUAAUGAUCAUCCGUACUGUAAACGGACACACGUGAUCAGGUAGAAAAUACUAAGGCGCUCGAGAGAUUCAUGGUUAAGGAACUAGGCAAAAUGGUCCUGUAACUUCGGGAUAAAGGACGCUCUUGUGAAAGAGCCGCAGAUAAUAGGCCCAGGCGACUGUUUACCAAAAACACAUGGCUAUGCUAAUUCGCAAGAAGAUGUAUAUGGCCUGACACCUGCCCGGUGCCGGAAGGUUAAGAGGAGAGCUCAGAGGUAACUCGAAGGUUUGAAUUGAAGCCCCGGUAAACGGCGGCCGUAACUAUAACGGUCCUAAGGUAGCGAAAUUCCUUGUCGGGUAAGUUCCGACCUGCACGAAUGGUGUAACGAUCUGGGUACUGUCUCAACCAUGAGCUCGGUGAAAUUGUAGUUCCGGUGAAGAUGCCGGAUACCCGCAACGGGACGGAAAGACCCCGUGAACCUUUACUGCAGCUUUGCAUUGAUUUUGGGUAACAGAUGUGUAGGAUAGGUCGGAGGCUUUGAUGCUGCGUCGUCAGGCGUAGAGUAGCCGUCGUUGAAAUACGACCCUUUUGUUAUCUGAGGUCUAAUCCCGUUAGGGAGACAUUGCAUGGUGGGUAGUUUGACUGGGGUGGUCGCCUCCAAAAGUGUAACGGAGGCUUCUCAAGGUACCCUCAAGGCGUUUGGUAAUCGUCUGCAGAGUGCAAUGGCAUAAGGGUGCUUGACUGUGAGACCGACACGUCGAUCAGGUUGGAAACAAGAGCAUAGUGAUCCGGUGGUUCCGCAUGGAAGGGCCAUCGCUCAAAGGAUAAA
Molecule: ribosomal RNA, 1985 nt
Filed under: human gut metagenome
Description: bacterial LSU rRNA
Rfam family: Bacterial large subunit ribosomal RNA
Source: RNAcentral